This 350-nucleotide small RNA is filed under the name Pongo abelii (Sumatran orangutan). RNAcentral's name for it is "processed transcript". The record is from RNAcentral. Lineage: Eukaryota; Metazoa; Chordata; Mammalia; Primates; Hominidae.
CGGCUGCAGCUGCUGUUGAGUGAGAAAACAAAAUUAUCUUCCCUUCCAAAUCCAAAAAGAUGAAAACGACUGAGAUACUUUCAAAAGACAACCAAGUGGGCACCACAGACUAAUGAGUAGAAUCAAUAAGAACGUGGUUUUGGCCCUUUUAACGCUGGCAAGUUCUGCAUUUCUGCUGUUUCAGUUGUACUACUACAAGCACUAUUUAUCAACAAAGAAUGGAGCUGGUUUGUCAAAAUCCAAAGGAAGCCGAAUUGGAUUUGAUAGCACACAGUGGGUAUGUAGAAAAAACAAGAAAUUUCUCGAUUAUAAUGUUCAUUUAGUUCAUUCAUUUACUCCGUAAGUAUUUG